RNAcentral lists this ribosomal RNA (460 nucleotides) under uncultured bacterium. RNAcentral describes it as "partial 16S ribosomal RNA". It matches the Rfam family "Bacterial small subunit ribosomal RNA", at positions 338 to 795 of the family's 1533-position model. The record is from RNAcentral.
CCUACGGGAGGCAGCAGUGAGGAAUAUUGGUCAAUGGACGAGAGUCUGAACCAGCCAAGUAGCGUGAAGGAUGACUGCCCUAUGGGUUGUAAACUUCUUUUAUAUGGGAAUAAAAUGUUCCACGUGUGGGAUUUUGUAUGUACCAUAUGAAUAAGGAUCGGCUAACUCCGUGCCAGCAGCCGCGGUAAUACGGAGGAUCCGAGCGUUAUCCGGAUUUAUUGGGUUUAAAGGGAGCGUAGGUGGAUUGUUAAGUCAGUUGUGAAAGUUUGCGGCUCAACCGUAAAAUUGCAGUUGAAACUGGCAGUCUUGAGUACAGUAGAGGUGGGCGGAAUUCGUGGUGUAGCGGUGAAAUGCUUAGAGAUCACGAAGAACUCCGGUUGCGAAGGCAGUUCACUGGACUGCAACUGACACUGAGGCUCGAAAGUGUGGGUAUCAAACAGGAUUAGAUACCCGAGUAGUC